Molecule: long non-coding RNA, 1906 nt
Organism: Piliocolobus tephrosceles (Ugandan red Colobus)
Lineage: Eukaryota; Metazoa; Chordata; Mammalia; Primates; Cercopithecidae
Source: Ensembl
AUGCUCAAAUGCUUAAUUUUACAAAAAUUUAUCGAAAGUGUGUUUGGUUCAAUUGAAAUGAAUGUUAUAUUUUACGAAUUACGUGAACGCUUUUGUUCUUUAGUUGAAUUACAUGGAGAUGUAAGAUUAUAUAAAACCGAUCCAGAUCAAACAAAUAAAAAUCUUUAUAAACAUACUAAUAAUAUUAUAACUGAACAUAAAAUCAGUUAUACAAACGAAUACAUGUUUAAUCAACUAUAUUUUAUUAAAUGUUUUUUAUGUAUUCGCAUACUUUUUAACAUUUUAAAAAAUUUUACAUUCGCUAACUCUAUUUAUCAAUACUCUUUUUCUUUGUUCUUUUCGUAUUUCAAGAACAAAGGAAGGAUUAUCACUCCCAGCAAGUUUUGGAAAGAGAUAUUCAACGAAUGUACUAAGCGAUAUAUAGAGAUGUACAAACAAACACCAAAGAAUAUUUUCAAAAUGAAACAAAAACAGUUACAUGUAAACUCACCUGAAUUACUACAAGAUGAAGAACAUGAGCAAUAUCAAGUAUUUGAAAAAUAUUUUACAUACUUUUUCAAUACUUAUAUUAAAGGUUAUGGUAUACCUCAACAUAUAAUUACAUUUAAUAUUCAUUUACAAAGAAAAGGGACAUCCAUGGAUAAUUUUAAUUUCUUAGUGGCACAAAAUGCAAUUACUCCAUUUGAUUUUUGCAAUAAUAACUUUCAUUCAAAUUAUUUCCUUGCAGAUAUCGCAUCAAUGAAUGUAUACAGUUUAUUACAAUUAAAUAAACACUUUGAUAUAAGAACUAAAUUAUAUAUUAGUAAUAUUAAUGGAAGUAUGUGUACAGAUUAUAUUCGGAACAAUAAGAAAUUGAAAAACAUUAAUCGUGUUAAACCCAAAAAGGAUAAAAUGGGUAAAACGGGUAAAAUGGGUAAAACAGGUAAAACGAGUAAAAUGGGUAAAAUGAAUGAAGGGAACAUGUUUUACAAUACUCAAGGAAGAACCCAUCUUGAUAAAAUUAUAUUCGAAAUUUUUUUAAAUCAACCAUAUAUACAUACAUAUGAUAAUAUAGAAAAAAAAUACAUACAAUUUUUAAAAAUAAAUAAAUAUUAUGAUAUAGAUCACACUUAUGAUUAUCCACUAACUUUAUUUAGUGCAAAAAAAAACACUAUUAUUAACCAAUUUAUUAUAAAAAAAAAUGUCAAAAACAAAAAAAAUAUUUAUUUUUUAAUCAAAAAAGAGCCUAUUAUUUUUACAAAAGGUUAUCGACGCAAAUUAAAUAAAAUGAUGGAAAAGGGGAUGAACGCUGAACUGGAAGGAGUAAAUAAGCAAAAAAAAAAAAAAAAAGAAAAAAAAAAAAAAUAGAGACAACAGAUACGGCAAAGGUAACAAAAACAAUAUUAUAAAAAAAUAUGAUUUAACAAACGAUGAAAAUCAAAUAUAUAAACAAUUAAAAACUGGUGAUAUAGGACAAGUGGAACAAAACGAUGAACAAACGAGUGUACACUCUAUAGAAGCAUAUCCCAUAAAUAAUAACGACGUAUGUAACGAACAAAUACAUAGCCAUAAUGAAAAUGAUGGUUAUACAGAAAUGAUAAAUCAUAACCAAAACAACUCAACCAACUCAGACAACUCAACCGACCCAACCGACCCAACCGACCCAACCGACCCAACCAACCCAACCAACCUAACCGACCCAACCGACUCAACUGACUCAACCGACUCAACCGACUCAAUUGACUCAAUCGACUCUAUUACUAAUAAUGCAAAAAAUGAAAAAAAUGAAAAAAAUGAAAAAAGUGAAAAAAAUGAAAAAAAUGAAAAAAAUGAAAAAAAUGAAAAAAAUGAAAAAAAUGAAAAAAAUGAAAAACAAAAUGACUUUCAAACAAAUAAAAACACAAAAGAAAUAGAAAAUAGCCUUACU